CAUCGUGCCGUUAAGUUUCAGUACACGCGGCACUGACAAUCCGACCCGCCAACCGCAAGCCAACUAUCAGCGCCUAGUAUCAUUUGGGUGAACGCAGCCGUCCACACGAUCGCGAAGUUAUUUCAAUGAGUUGAAUAUAAAUUAUUCUUCGAGUAGCAAGGAGAGGUCAAGUCUGGUGCCAGCAGCCGCGGUAAUUCCAGCUCUCCUAGUUUAUCUCGUUAUUGCUGCGGUUAAAAAGCUCGUAGUUGGAUCUAGGUUACGUGCCGCAGUUCACAAUUUGCGUUAACUGUGGUCGUGACUUCUAAUUUUCUGGUUUGAGGUUGGGUUCGCCCUUCAACUGCCAGCAGGUUUACCUUGAAUAAAUCAGAGUGCUCAAUACAGGCGCUUGCUUGAAUAGCUUGUAAUGUAAUAAUGAAACAGGACUUCGGUUCUUUUUGUUGGUUCUAAAAUGGUUAAGAGGGACAAACCGGGGGCAUUCGUAUCAUUACGCGAGAGGUGAAAUUCGUGGACCGUAGUGAGACGCCCAACAGCGAAAGCAUUUGCCAAGAAUGUCUUAAUUAAUUGAGAACGAAAGUCAGAGGUUCGAAGGCGAUUAGAUACCGCCCUAGUUCUGACCGUAAACGAUGCCAUCUCGCGAUUCGGAGGGUUCAUGCCCUACCGAGGAGCUACCCGGAAACGAAAGUCUUUCGGUUCCGGGGGUAGUAUGGUUGCAAAGCUGAAACUUAAACAAAUUGACGGAAGGGCACCACAAGGCGUGGAGCUUGCGGCUUAAUUUGACUCAACACGGGAAAACUUACCCGGUCCGGACACUAUUAGGACUGACAGAUUGAAAGCUCUUUCUCGAUUUGGUGGUUGGUGGUGCAUGGCCGUUCUUAGUUGGUGGAGUGAUUUGUCUGGUUUAUUCCGAUAACGAGCGAGACUCUAGCCUGCUAAAUAGUCGACGAAUUUUUGGGUUUGUAUAACUUCUUAGAGGGAUAAGCAGUGUUUAGCCGCACAAGAUUAAGCGAUAACAGGUCUGUGAUGCCCUUAGAUGUACGGGGCUGCACGCGUGCUACACUGGUGGAGUCAGCGGGUUUUUCCUAUGCCGAAAGGUAUCGGUAAACCGUUGAACUUUCUAUCAAUUCUGUUGCUUUCCGAAUAAGGAAAAGCUUCAAAUCAUAACAUUCCUGAAUUAGAAUUGUCCCGAACCAGAACUGUCUUCUUUACGAAAUACCAUGUUUACUCUAUUUGUCCGGCAUGCAGAGGCUUAUUGUUUGAACCUCCUGCUUGGAUGCCGGGCAGUUAGAGUAAAUACCACAUAAUUCAUUUUUGACAUUUGUGGCUCAUAAAAUUUUUUUUUUCCAAUCAUGCUGCUGAUUUCACCUUUACCAUAGUUCUGAUUUGGAAACGUUUUGAUUCGAGAUAGUCGGGGGACUACGAUGGUGAGGGACUAUAAUUGUUUAUGCUGGGGUGGGGGCUUAUAUCCCACAACAGGCAUAUGAAGUAGGUAUUCGUGAAAUUACGUCUUAAAAUAAUAAAAUCCACAAAAAACUGGUGUCACCACGCCUCGCCCCGACCCUUUCCCGUGCAAAAC
Non-coding RNA from Caenorhabditis japonica, 1573 nucleotides. Lineage: Eukaryota; Metazoa; Nematoda; Chromadorea; Rhabditida; Rhabditidae. The record is from Rfam.